GACGAACGCUGGCGGCGUGCUUAACACAUGCAAGUCGAACGGAAAGGCCCUGCUUUUGUGGGGUGCUCGAGUGGCGAACGGGUGAGUAACACGUGAGUAACCUGCCCUUGACUUUGGGAUAACUUCAGGAAACUGGGGCUAAUACCGGAUAGGAGCUCCUGCUGCAUGGUGGGGGUUGGAAAGUUUCGGCGGUUGGGGAUGGACUCGCGGCUUAUCAGCUUGUUGGUGGGGUAGUGGCUUACCAAGGCUUUGACGGGUAGCCGGCCUGAGAGGGUGACCGGCCACAUUGGGACUGAGAGACGGCGCAGACUCCUACGGGAGGCAGCAGUGGGGAGUAUUGCACAAUGGGCGGAAGCCUGAUGCAGCAACGCCGCGUGCGGGAUGACGGCCUUCGGGUUGUAAACCGCUUUCGCCUGUGACGAAGCGUGAGUGACGGUAAUGGGUAAAGAAGCACCGGCUAACUACGUG
This 468-nucleotide ribosomal RNA is filed under the name uncultured bacterium. RNAcentral describes it as "partial 16S ribosomal RNA". It matches the Rfam family "Bacterial small subunit ribosomal RNA", at positions 28 to 507 of the family's 1533-position model. The record is from RNAcentral.